RNAcentral lists this ribosomal RNA (431 nucleotides) under Vibrio sp. suH-31. RNAcentral's name for it is "bacterial SSU rRNA". It matches the Rfam family "Bacterial small subunit ribosomal RNA", at positions 67 to 500 of the family's 1533-position model. The record is from RNAcentral. Lineage: Bacteria; Pseudomonadati; Pseudomonadota; Gammaproteobacteria; Vibrionales; Vibrionaceae.
CGGGUGACGUUAACGGCGUCGAGCGGCGGACGGGUGAGUAAUGCCUGGGAAUAUGCCUUGAUGUGGGGGAUAACCAUUGGAAACGAUGGCUAAUACCGCAUAAUCUCUACGGAGCAAAGAGGGGGACCUUCGGGCCUCUCGCGUCAAGAUUAGCCCAGGUGGGAUUAGCUAGUUGGUGAGGUAAAGGCUCACCAAGGCGACGAUCCCUAGCUGGUCUGAGAGGAUGAUCAGCCACACUGGAACUGAGACACGGUCCAGACUCCUACGGGAGGCAGCAGUGGGGAAUAUUGCACAAUGGGCGCAAGCCUGAUGCAGCCAUGCCGCGUGUGUGAAGAAGGCCUUCGGGUUGUAAAGCACUUUCAGUCGUGAGGAAGGUGGUGUCGUUAAUAGCUGCCUCGUUUGACGUUAGCGACAGAAGAAGCACCGGCUAA